Non-coding RNA from Gasterosteus aculeatus aculeatus (three-spined stickleback), 1579 nucleotides. NCBI's taxonomy places the organism in Eukaryota, Metazoa, Chordata, Actinopteri, Perciformes, Gasterosteidae. The record is from RefSeq and is a predicted model, not a curated record.
UUUGUUUGUAUUAGGCCAAUAUCUACAGACAGCGGUGGAGUCCAAUGCAAAUAGAUGAUGGAGGGAAGAUUGCAGUUAAGAGAAGACUUUCCACAUAACACAACAUAAUCCACAGUACCGGACUCCAGUGGAGAUUAGACAGAUAGGUCAUAAGAAAAUAAAAAGAAGGGUUUAGUAUGCUGAAAACUGUGUGAGGGGAUGUCCGCGUUCCAAAACAGACAAUCCGACAAGCUUGCCUGUUUCCUGCAGGAGGAGGCCAGAUGUCAGAACAAGCAGCAACCUAGCGGAGAAGACGGAGGGGCCGAAAACUUGAAGUUCAUCCAACGGCCACCAUCCGCACGGAGCUACGUGUUAAAAGGACCAACUUCACGGCCUACAAAGCAGGACAAAUGCAGCGGUGGUCAUAAUGUUACUUCACUACGUUAUUUACAGCCGUUACGAUACGCUAUGACACCCACCCGAUGUGAAACACAUGUAAACACUCCGGUGACUUUGCUGCAUUAAAAUGAUUCAUCCUUUGGGGACGGUGCAGCAUGUCUGUGAACGCUGCAUCGCCGAUGAUCCAAACGUUAUCGAGAGGCCACAUCAGCUCAGGUGAAGUGCGACCGGGCCUCAGCAGCUGAUAGAGCUACAGAUACACGCACCUCUGCUUUCAACUUUAUUGUUUCGUAUUCACCAGUGUUCAAUAGGUUGCAGAUGCUGAACACCAUUACAACACAGGAAAUUGUGUUGAUAAUAAAGACGAUGGUUUUGGCAUGUGGCCACACUUCCGUGCUCGACAGCGUGGAGCGAAGCAAAGGGCCCGAUCCCCUUAGGAACAAUAUACAUGUCAUCACAUUUUAAGGCAUCUCAUUUUCAAGGCCUGGCCCUUUUAUGUUUGUCGAGGUGUUCAGAGGUCCCUCUUGUAAAUUUGAUUGGCACGGCAAUAUAAUUGAAAAGAACCUAUUGGCAGUGGCACCUGUGACAAAUUGUAAAUCAGCUGAGUUCUUCUCCUCGGGCCGAACGUGUAAAACCUUGUGAAUGAGUCACAGAACUACACCACGGAUCUGCCAAACACAUUUACGCGCUGGGCCGGCUCGCCAAAUACAACACGGGGAUCCACGAAACGUGCAAGUGAAGCGUGCACAUCCGUGUGAAAGCCCCAAAGAGAUUCUCCUCAGUUUUACUCCAAAAGAUUAACGCAACCGCUUCUUCUGAAAUCGAAAAAUCUACAAUGUUUGUGGUGCAAGAGGAUUGGAGACAAUAGGUUGAACCAGUUGAUCCUUUAUUUUUAUUUCCCUCCUGUUUAUUUCCCUUUUUCAAGCAAUGGGACUAUAAUAGAAUGAGGUUGUUGUUUGGUUCACUGCUCUUUCUUGUUAUGAAAUUCCACAAUUUCGAGUCAAAUUGUACCUGUGUUUCAUAUAGAAUUUUCGCCCCUGUAAGUGAUAAACCUGAAAAGUAAAGAUAGGAAUUCAUGAUGAAAGCCACAUGCACCUUUCAGUGGUGGGAAUCUUCACUGUGGUAAAGAUACGAUCCCUCUCAACAAUUUGAAUAUAAAUCGUCCAUGCAUCUUGAUGAAUUAAAUCCUCCAUUUAAUAUA